Molecule: long non-coding RNA, 289 nt
Organism: Vidua macroura (Pin-tailed whydah)
Lineage: Eukaryota; Metazoa; Chordata; Aves; Passeriformes; Viduidae
Exons: 3
Source: RefSeq, a predicted model, not a curated record
AGUUUAGCCUGCAAACCCCUUAAUAUUGCCAUAAUAUCAUCUUACCACUGAUGCUGCAGAAAAUGAGACAGUCAUGUUUUGUCUUCAGAUUCUUCCUUCAAACCCAGAAUUGCAGUCUUCAACAUAUUCACAUGGCUUUGGUGAAACUGGUUUCACAAACACUGCAAAAAUCAGUCUCCUCGUGCCUGCCAUCUCCUAUUAUUUCUUGGGCCAAUGGAGAGGUGUUUUUCCCUCCUGUUUCUGCAAUGGCUUGGUGAUGGGAAGCAUACCCCAUCUGAUAUCUAUCUUC